Notothenia coriiceps (black rockcod) is the source of this 390-nucleotide long non-coding RNA. RefSeq lists it as uncharacterized. The record is from RefSeq and is a predicted model, not a curated record. The transcript has 3 exons. Lineage: Eukaryota; Metazoa; Chordata; Actinopteri; Perciformes; Nototheniidae.
CAGGUCAGAUGGGAGGUUGAGCUACAUCUGGGGAGCUUCUCAGGAAAAGCAUAUGCUGGACUGAUGUCCUCUGUUUACAAACCCUUCAUGCAAUAACCCGAGGGAAAUAAUGGCAAAGAGAAGGAGUGCGGGAUGCAGCCUCUGGGAUUGACUGUUAAAUUAACGGGAGACACGCUAUUCCAUUGCGCUGCUUAACCAUUGUGGAAAACAGAUAGUGACAGCGAUAACGAAGCAGCAGAAUCUCUCAUCUCGUCUCAGUGGGCCAUCCCUCCUGCAGCUAUUUGUCACAAGCAGAUGUUUGAGAGAACCAUGACCUCCAAGUGUGGCUGCCGGGGAAUGGGAGCUUGGCGCCAGUUCUGAUUGGAAACCUGCAGAGCAGAGGGGGCAUGG